RNAcentral lists this ribosomal RNA (442 nucleotides) under uncultured bacterium. Its description in RNAcentral is "SSU rRNA". It matches the Rfam family "Bacterial small subunit ribosomal RNA", at positions 26 to 518 of the family's 1533-position model. The record is from RNAcentral.
AGAGCGAACGCUGGCGGCAGGCCUAACACAUGCAAGUCGAGCGCCCCGCAAGGGGAGCGGCAGACGGGAGAGUAACACGUGGGAACGUACCCUUUGGUUCGGAACAACCCAGGGAAACUUGGGCUAAUACCGAAUAAGCCCUUACGGGGAAAGAUUUAUCGCCAAAGGAUCGGCCCGCGUCUGAUUAGCUAGUUGGUGAGGUAACGGCUCACCAAGGCGACGAUCAGUAGCUGGUCUGAGAGGAUGAUCAGCCUCACUGGGACUGAGACACGGCCCAGACUCCUACGGGAGGCAGCAGUCGGGAAUUUUGCGCAAUGGACGAAAGUCUGACGCAGCAACGCCGCGUGAGGGAUGAAGGCCUUCGGGUGUAAACCUCUUUAUCAGGGAAGAUAAUGACGGUACCUGAUGAAUAAGUCACGGCUAACUACGUGCCAGCAGCCGC